AGCUCUCCUUCAAAACAGAAUCAAAAUUUGAGUUAGCUGAGAAUGAAUUUGCUACAGCAAAAACAAACAAAGGAACGAGAAGAAGCUUUAGGGCCCUCAAACGCCAUAUUCAAAAUAAGGUUGAGAGCAGUUUCAUGAAGACCUCACCUUCAAAGCCCAAUCUGUACGAAAUUGACUUCCCACCUAGUUAGUUCGUCUUCAAUGGCUCAGAAAAGAGCUGAGUAAAUGGAGCAAGAAGGCAUUCCUAAACAAUAAAAAAUCAUUGAGGAUCUGAAGAAACGACUGUAUGAAUAGACACGAGGUGAUCUCAAUGACACACUAUUAGAAGAUGCCAACGUAACAGUAUUUUAAGCCUUAGAGAUGAUGACAGAAGAUGGCUGACGGAGAAGGGAGAUAUCUUAACCAAUGUGGCAGGCUUUUUUCAACAACCCUUUACGGCUUUGGGACUUAGGAGAAUGGAUAAAGCGUUAAGUUGUUUACAGGCUAGAAUCGAUGAUCAAACUAAUGUUGUCCUUAUGCGCCCUGUAACUAAAGAAGAAAUUCAAGAAGCAGUAUUUAAUCUUGGUGUCGACAAGGCACCCAGUCCGAUGGCUUUUCAAGUAAAUUUCUAUCAUUCCAUUAGGACUGAGAUUGGUGAUAGCAUCCGCUUUAUGAUUCUGGAAUUCUUUUAUGGUAAGUGCUCUCUUGAGGCUAUUUAUAAUACUAAUAUUAGUCUUAUUCCUAAAGUGGACAAGCCUAAACAUGUUUCUCAAUCCUGCCCUAUUGAUCUUUUAAUUUCUCUUAUAAGGUCAUCUCAAAAACUAUUGCAAAUCGCAUGAGACCUAUUCUUGAUACACGCAUCUCUUGGAAUCAAGGUGCCUUUGUUCCUAGGCAUUUCAUUCAUGAUAACAUUAUUAUUGCUAAUGAAGUGUGCCAUUAUUUGAGGGGAAAGAAAACUGGUAAUAAAUUGGAAUUUUCUUUGAAAAUGGAUACGAGCUAGGCCUAUGAUAGAAUUGGAUGGGAUUUUUUUAUAGAAAGUUCUGUUUAAAUUUGGUUUCUACUCUAAUUGGAUCAACAUUAUAAUGAAGUUUUUGGAAUUUGUUAGCCUUAACAUAUGUGUCUUAGGGCAGCAAAUUGCUUCUUUUGUUCCAGGAUGAGGCUUAAGACAAGGUGAUCCCCUAUCUCCUUACCUCUCCAUCUUGGUUGCUAAAGUUCUAUCAAGCUUGGUCAAUGAUUCUCAACAUCAAAGGCUUCUCAAGGGGAUUAAUAAGCUCACCAUUAGCAGCCCAGAACUUACUCAUUGCUUAUUUGCAGAUGACGCCCUUCUCAUUAUGAAUACUAAUGCCUGAAAUUGUAAAAAUCUUGCUAAAUUAUUAAACUUCUACUGUAUAGCUUCGGGUCAAAUGGCGAAUCUAGGUAAAUCAAGCAUUUUCUUCUCGUUAUAUGCUCCUGCACAUGAUAGAGCUAGAGUGUGUCAAAUUCUGGGUAUUCCUGAAGUGACAGAUCUGGGAAAUAUUUGGGCAUCCCAAGCAUCUGGGGAAAAACUAACUAACAGGCUCUUGCUUAUUUCAAGGAAAGAAUCUACCGCAAGGUUUAAGGGUGGGAAAUAUCUACUUUAUCUUUUACAGGUAGGGUGGUGAUGAUUAAAGUUGUGCUUAGUGCUAUCCCAAUUUAUCCAAUGAGCCAUUUUAAGUUUCCAAUAAAAACUUGCAAGGGGAUUCACAGUCUCAUCUCGAAUUUUUGGUAGGGUGGUGAAGACUUAUUGGAAAGCUUGGAAUGACUUGUCUCGGCUAAAGAGUGAAGAAGGUAUGGCCUUCAAGGACUUUGUCAUAUUGAAUGAGGCUCUUGCCAAAACAGCGUGGAGAAUCAUUAACCAGCCAUAUGAGUUUGUGGGUUAAAGUUCUCAAGAGUAUUUAUUUUCCCAAAGGUGCAUUUGUUGAUGCAAAGAAGGCCUCACAAGCUUCAACGUGUUGGUCUAGUAUGAUUGAUAGGCGGGAUUUCUUAAAGAAAAAUAUCCUUUGGGAUUUAGGUAAUGGAGAAUCAAUCAAAAUUUGGGAUGAUCCUUAGGUUCCUACUACUAAAUUCCAAAGUAAACCUGUUGAUAAUUCUAAUUUCAUAGUCAAGCACAAUCGAAUUUCUCACUUGAUAAUCAAUGGUACAUGAGAUCUCUCUCCUUUUCAAGGGCUGAUUGAUGAUAAUGUUAAGGUAGAAAUUUUGAAAAUCCAGAUUCCUUCAUGUGCUUUAUCUGAUAAAUGUGUAUGGGCACUAGUUACUAAUGGGGCUUAUACAGUCAAACUGGGCUAUAAACAGGAAAGUAAUCAUUGAAAGAAAGUUGCAAACUAUGCUGAGACGUCCUGCAUGAUUUCUAGUGAUGUUUGGCGGUAUAUAUGGCAAAUCAAAACCCUCCCACGCAUCCAACACUUCAUCUGGAGGACUCUCUCAAUCUAUUACUGUGAACACAUUACUUUAUAGACGGAAGUGUUGGUUCCCUAAGGUUUUCCCUAUUUGUGAAUCUGAAGAUGAAACGAUUGAGCAUCAAUUUUUUCUUUCUCCCUGGGUUAUAUGCUUAUGGUUUUCUAGCCCUUUUGGUUUCAAGCUUGAUUAUUUUAAUAUUCACAACUUUGAAUCUUGGCGGGUGGAUAUUUUAAAAUUUGUUUGUAUGAUUUCUGAUUUUGAUCUUGGUCUAAUGAGCUGGUUGUUAUGGCUGAUAUAGAAGCAAAGGAAUGAUGAAGUAUUCAAUCAAAGAGACCUAAACUUGUUGCAAGUGUCAGAACAAGCGAGGUCCCUGCAUGAAAAAUUUUGGGUCGUGAAUAAUGUGAAUUCUGAGAGUGUUACUUCUCCACCCCCAGUUCACGAUUCUAGUUGGGUUCCACCACAAUCAGAUUACCUUAAAAUUUAUAGCGAUGGGGCCUUCUCUAAUAAAUUUUCUCCUACUGCUAUUGAAGCUGUAUGUAGAAACAACUUGGGUGACUUUAAAUGGGGCUUCAUUGAUAAAUUAAAAUCUCUUUUUGCCUUCAUGAUAGAACUUUGAAGCGAGCACUUUUAUUAGCAAUAGACUUGGGGCAUGACAAAGUGAUUUUUGAAUUUUGACUGCAAAUUACUUUGAGUUCCUUCUGCUUAGUUUGAUCAAUGUGAUUGGAAUUGUCGCAGUAUUAUCCAAGAGAUUUCUGUUAUGACGGGUUGGGUUUUCCCUCUGUUUUACCCCUAGACGGGGUCGUGUAGUUGACCUCGUAGCAGCUGAUGCUCAUAAGGGAGUGUGCCUAUUCGGGUGGGUAUCUCUACCUGCAUCACUCUCAUUUAUCAUCUCUUCUAAAAUCAAAUGCUUUGGAUGCUCAGAAGAUUGGGGCAGACACUUCAAUUCGAGGGCAUAAAAUAGGUGUGGGUUAAUGUUGUUUAUGCUUUGUAAUUCUGUGUCUGGUUUUUUCCCUUUAUUUCCUUGUUUCCUGGACGUUUAUUGCCUCUGGCUUUAAUAGAGAUAUCUUUGCCCCAAAAAAAGCCUAUUGAAAAAGUUU
Prosopis cineraria is the source of this 3491-nucleotide long non-coding RNA. RefSeq lists it as uncharacterized. The record is from RefSeq and is a predicted model, not a curated record. Lineage: Eukaryota; Viridiplantae; Streptophyta; Magnoliopsida; Fabales; Fabaceae. The transcript is spliced from 3 exons.